This 253-nucleotide ribosomal RNA is filed under the name uncultured bacterium. RNAcentral describes it as "partial 16S ribosomal RNA". It matches the Rfam family "Bacterial small subunit ribosomal RNA", at positions 524 to 776 of the family's 1533-position model. The record is from RNAcentral.
UACGUAGGUGACCAGCGUUGUCCGGAUUUACUGGGCGUAAAGAGCGCGCAGGCGGUCGUUCAAGUCGAGUGUGAAAGCCCCCGGCUCAACUGGGGAGGGUCACUCGAUACUGAUCGACUCGAAGGCAGGAGAGGGUAGUGGAAUUCCCGGUGUAGUGGUGAAAUGCGUAGAGAUGUGGAGGAACACCGAUGGCGAAGGCAGCCUUCUGGGCCAACACUGACGCUCAUGCACGAAAGCGUGGGGAGCAAACAGG